GCAAGUUGAGCGGUAAGGCCCCUUCGGGGGUACACGAGCAGCGAACGGGUGAGUAUCGCGUGGGUAAUCUACCUAGAGGUGGGGGAUAGCCUCGGGAAACCGAGGGUAAUACAGCAUGAGACCUCAACGGCAUAAGUCGAUGGAGGGAAAGGCGGGGCUCCUUUGGGACCUGUCGUCUCUAGAUGAGCCCGCGUCCGAUUAGCUAGUUGGUGGGGUAAUGGCCUACCAAGGCAACGAUCGGUAGCCGGCCUGAGAGGGUGAAC
This 263-nucleotide ribosomal RNA is filed under the name uncultured bacterium. RNAcentral describes it as "partial 16S ribosomal RNA". It matches the Rfam family "Bacterial small subunit ribosomal RNA", at positions 57 to 305 of the family's 1533-position model. The record is from RNAcentral.